This 497-nucleotide ribosomal RNA is filed under the name uncultured bacterium. RNAcentral describes it as "partial 16S ribosomal RNA". It matches the Rfam family "Bacterial small subunit ribosomal RNA", at positions 28 to 507 of the family's 1533-position model. The record is from RNAcentral.
GACGAACGCUGGCGGCGUGCCUAAUACAUGCAAGUUGAGCGAUGAAGAUUGGUGCUUGCACCAAUUUGAAGAGCAGCGAACGGGUGAGUAACGCGUGGGGAAUCUGCCUUUGAGCGGGGGACAACAUUUGGAAACGAAUGCUAAUACCGCAUAAUAACUUUAAACAUAAGUUUUAAGUUUGAAAGAUGCAAUUGCAUCACUCAAAGAUGAUCCCGCGUUGUAUUAGCUAGUUGGUGAGGUAAAGGCUCACCAAGGCGAUGAUACAUAGCCGACCUGAGAGGGUGAUCGGCCACAUUGGGACUGAGACACGGCCCAAACUCCUACGGGAGGCAGCAGUAGGGAAUCUUCGGCAAUGGACGAAAGUCUGACCGAGCAACGCCGCGUGAGUGAAGAAGGUUUUCGGGUCGUAAAACUCUGUUGGUAGAGAAGAACGUUGGUGAGAGUGGAAAGCUCAUCAAGUGACGGUAACUACCCAGAAAGGGACGGCUAACUACGUG